GAUGAAGAACGUAGCGAAAUGCGAUACGUAGUGUGAAUUGCAGAAUUCAGUGAAUCAUCGAAUCUUUGAACGCACAUUGCACCUCUCGGUAUUCCGGGAGGUAUGCCUGUUCGAGCGUCAUUUGUACCCUCAAGCUCUGCUUGGUGUUGGGUGUUUGUUCCGCCUCUGUGUGUGAACUCGCCUCAAAACAAUUGGCAGCCGGCGUACUUGUUUCGGAGCGCAGCACAUUUUGCGAUCCAGAUCAACGUACAGCGGCAUCCAAGAAGCCUUAUUUAACGCUCUUGACCUCGGAUCAGGUAGGGAUGCCCGCUGAACUUAAGCAUAUCAAUAAGCGGAGGA
This 339-nucleotide unclassified non-coding RNA is filed under the name soil metagenome. RNAcentral's name for it is "partial contains 5.8S ribosomal RNA, internal transcribed spacer 2, and large subunit ribosomal RNA". The stretch from base 1 to 120 matches the Rfam family "5.8S ribosomal RNA", at positions 35 to 154 of the family's 154-position model. The record is from RNAcentral.